GCCCCGGUGGCGAAAUUGGCAGACGCGCCGCACUCAAAAUGCGGUCUCUCACGGGGUGCCGGUUCGAGUCCGGCCCGGGGCAC
Molecule: transfer RNA, 83 nt
Filed under: Gordonia spumicola
Lineage: Bacteria; Bacillati; Actinomycetota; Actinomycetes; Mycobacteriales; Gordoniaceae
Description: tRNA-Leu
Rfam family: tRNA
About the family: Transfer RNA (tRNA) molecules are approximately 80 nucleotides in length. Their secondary structure includes four short double-helical elements and three loops (D, anti-codon, and T loops).
Source: RNAcentral